Rattus norvegicus (Norway rat) is the source of this 69-nucleotide non-coding RNA. NCBI's taxonomy places the organism in Eukaryota, Metazoa, Chordata, Mammalia, Rodentia, Muridae. The record is from Rfam.
GGGGAUUUAGCUCAGAGGUAGAGCGCUUGCCUAGGAAGCGCAAGGCCCUGGGUUCGGUCCCCAGCUCCA